RNAcentral lists this long non-coding RNA (4294 nucleotides) under Homo sapiens (human). RNAcentral describes it as "HSALNT0336571". The record is from RNAcentral. Lineage: Eukaryota; Metazoa; Chordata; Mammalia; Primates; Hominidae.
CGACAGAGCAAGACUCCGUCUAAAACAGAAAAAAAAAAAAAAAAAAAAAAGCUUAAUAGUUAAUUUAUCCAUUAAACUUAAAUUAUCAACUAAGGACACUAUAAGUGCUUUUCAUAUGGCUGCACAAGAUAUUGCAACUGAUACCAAGGUGAGUAAAGCAGCAGUCCCUACCUUCGAAGGGUUAGUUGCCUGUUUAGAAAUUUUUAUUAUGGUUUUAAAGUGAGGAUAAGCUGCAGAAAGGCAUUUUAAGUACAAAAAUAAUUGUAGGUCACACAGGAAUCUAAUUUAUAAAAGAAAAGGGAGCAUCUGGAGGAUUCAGAAGAGGGAAAGCAGACACCUGGUUGGAUGGAGUAAGAAAAGACUAUAAAUGGGAAGGAUUUCUGAAAAGACUUAAGACUUGAAGGAUGGCAUGUGUUUUGUCAAAAGAAAACAGAAAUGAGGGAAGUUGUAUGUAAAAGAACAGCAUAACCAAGAGCAUUCAUGUCAUCAUUAUCAUCAUCAUAACUGACAUUUACUGAAUACUUAAUUUGUAUGAGGCUUUGUGCUAAAUCUUUAACGUGUUAAAUCCUGUAAUCUUCAUAAUCACACUACAAAGUCAAGUCUAUUAUUAUUCCCAGUUUACAGAAGAGAAAACUGAUACUCUGGUUAAUUGCCCAGGGCCAUAUAGCUAAAAGCAGUGCAAUCUGAAAUUGACCAAGAUUCAGGUAACCAUGAGAAAUCUAGUGUGAAUAGAACAUUUAGCAUACACAUCAAUAAAUAAAAAGACUAAGUCUAGAAAUGCAGAUCAGGAUUUCCCAAGGCUCCAUAUGCUGGAUUAAAGGUUUCAUGCUUAGUUGACAGGCAAUGGGCAGCCAUUGCAGGGUUAUGAGCAGGUUUUUACGUUACCCAAUCUGUCAACACAUGGAGUGGAGACAUCAUGGAGGGGAGAGGUCUAGGGAUACAGUGAGACCAAGAAGUCCUCUCAAGUUUUUCAGGUAAGAAGCAAACUUAGAGUGAAAUUUUUGUUAAUGAAAUGAGGUAAGAGAUAGGAGAAACACAAAAGGUCAAAUCUACAGAACUCGUCAACUAAUGGAUUGAGUGCUGGAAGUGUUACAGAAAAUAAGAAGUCUGCAACAACUUGGAGAGCUGGGGUCUUGCCGCUGAACUGAUGGUUUCAUAAACAGAAAUUUUUGAACCACUUGGUGCCAUGAGAAGGGGCUGAAGAAAAGGAAGGCAGUGUCCAAGGUGAGGAGAAAAGGAAAAGGAAGAGGUUGGCAAGUGAGAAGUCCGCAAAGGGCAGCCUGACAUCUGGUAGUCCGAGGGGGCAGCUGGCCUGGGCCUUGUGUUCUGACUCCAGGGAAUGUGAAAUGAGCUGAUCAAGAUUUGGAGGAAACAGGCAAAACAACGUUACAUAUCACUCUGGCUAAUAUACAUAGCCAUAGGACCUCAGGCACAUAAGCCACAUGGAGACAAACACUAACUCUAAAGCCUCAGAAUGUUCUUUCCUAAUUGACUAUGAUAAAUAUUUGUAAACAUACAAAAAGUCAAAAGAUUGGCACAUUGAUCAUAAGUAUCCUAAAUUUGACAGUUGUAAAUAUUUGUUAGCAUUUGACUGUGUUUGCUUUCCCUGUGUGUAUACACAUAUAUAUAUGUAUUUAUAUAUGCAUAUGUUUCACUGAACCAUUUCAAAGUAUGUUGCCAACAUCUUGACACUUAACUCAUAAUCCCUUCAGUUUACCUCUGCUAAAAAUGAGAACACUCUCCUUAAUAACCAUAAUACCAUGAUACAUCAAAAAACUAAAAGAUAUUUUAAUGUCAUCUCUUAUCUAGAUAAUAUUCAAAUUCCCAUAUUGUGCCAAAAACAUAUUAGCAGUGUCUAAUCUAAGUUCAACUUUGCACUUGAGUGUUCUAUCACCUCAUUUUUUAAAUUUUCUUUUUAUUGAAGUGUAACAAGUGUACAGAAAAAUGCAACAAAUCCUGUGUCUAACUCAAUUUUCACAAAGUGAACACAUGUAACUAUCACCCAGACUGAGAAAUAAAAUAUUACCCACACUUCUCUCUCCCCAGUAGUUUGGCUCCCCAAAGGUAACCACUGUUCUGAUGUCAAUUACUAUCCAUUAUUUUUGCCCAUUUUUGAAGAGUAUGUAAAUAGACUCAUACAAUAUGUAUUUUAUUUUGUCUGACUUCUUCUGAGCAACGUUUGUGAAAUUCGUCAGUGUUAUUGCAUGUAGUAGUGAUUUCUUUAUUCUCAUGUUAUAUACUACUACAUUUUGUGAAUAUUCUACAAUUGAUUUGUUCACUCUUGAUUGGCCAUUUGGAUAUCCUUUUCUCAAAUGCGUGUUCAAGUCUAUGCAUAUUUCUAACUAUGUUGUCUAUCAUUUUCUUAUUGUGAAUUGGUUUUAUACUGAGAAUGUGUCUUUAUUAAAUAUGUAUCCCAAGUAUGUUUACCCAUGGUGGCUCGCCUUCUCAUUCUCUUAACCGUGUAUUUUUCAGAGGCGCUGUUUAGUUUAAUGAAUUCCAAUUUAUCAAUAUUUCCCUUUAUGACUAAUGCCUUUUGUGUCCUCUUUAAGAUAAACUCUCUGCCUACUCCAAAGUCACAAAUAUAUUCUCCUAUGUUGUCUUCUGUGAGCUUUAUUGAUUUACCUUUUACAUUUAGAAAUAUAAUCCAUCUGCAUUUGAUUUUUGUGUGUAAAGUGACAUACAGGUGAGAUUCACUUUUUUCCACAUGGAUAUCCAAUUGAAACAUUCCAUUCAUUGAAAUGACCAUUCUUUUCUCUCUUCACUGCUGUCAAUGUCAUCAUAUAUCCGGUGAUCAGGUGACCACAUACUAGUAGGUUUAUUUCUGGACUUAAUGUGUUACAUUACCCUAUUUAUUUAUCCUCCAGCUGAUACAACAUUGUCUUAAUUACUAUAAUGUUGUAGCAAAUAUUAAAAUCUUGUAGUGUGUAUCUUAGCUUUUUUUCUUCUUCAAUUAGAAAAACUGACUAAUACUUUGAGUAUUUUCGGCCCUCUGAAUUUCCAUACAUAAUUAAGAUUUUAACUUGUCCAUUUCCAGGAAAAAUAUUGUGCUGGGAUUUUGAUUGUUUUUUCACUGAAUCCAUAGACCAAUUAUAAAAAAUUGAAAUAGUUACAAUAUUGAAAUUUCUAAUCCACAAACAUAGAAUGACUCUCCAUUUGUCUGCUUUCAUUUCUCUCAAUAAUGUUUUUGUAGAUUUAUGUAUAAAAUCCUCAUAUAGCUUUUGUUAGAUUUAAUUAUAGGUAUUUGAUGAUUGCUGAUGCUGAUGUCAAUAUUUUUAUUAUUUUCUUUGCAAUUAUUUGUUGCUAGUAUAAAGAAAUACAAUUGAAUUUGUACAUUCACUUUGUAUCUAGAGUCCCACUUAAGUUGUCUUAUUUGAAUAGUUUGACCAUAGACUCUUUUCUAUUUUCUAUAAUGUUUAGAUUUCUAUGCCAUCUAAGAAUAAAGACAGUUGUAUUUCAUGCUUUCCAAUCCUAACACCUUUUUCGUGCUUUAUUGCUCUGGCUAAAACCUCUGUACAGUGUUGAAAAGAAGAGGUGGUAAGGCAAUCCUUGCAUUGUCUUAAUCUCAGGAGAGUUUUAAAUAACUCACCACAAAAUAGAAUAUUUACUAUAUAUUUUUUGCAGAUAUCAUUUAUCAGGUUAAAGAAAUUCCUCUUUAGUCCUAGUUUUCCAUGAGGGGCGGGGGUGGUGGUGUUAGUUUUAUUUUAAAUCAUGAAAUGACUGUUGAAUUUAGUCAAAUAUAUUUUACUGCAUCUAUUGAGAUGAGUAUGUGAUUUGUUAUUAUUCUAUUAAUGUGAUUUAUUACAUUGACUGAUUUUUUUCAUGUGAAGCCAACUUGCAUACCUGGAAUACCUGGAAUAUACCCAGUUUACUGUUAAUACCCAGUUUACUGUUUAUGUAUUAUCCUCUGCAUAUACAUUACUGGUUCAAAUUGCUAGCAUUUUGAGUAGAAUUUUGCAUCUACAUCCUUGAGAGAAAUUGGCCUGUAUUUUUACAUCUUUCUCACAUUUUAGUAUCAAAGUUACGCUGGCUUUGAAAGGUAAGUUGGAAGGUGUUGCUUGCCAUUCUAUUCUCUAGAAGAGCUUCUUAAAAUUGAUGUUAUUUCUUUAAGCAUUUCAAUUUCACUGAUGAAGGCUCUGGACCUGGAGAUUUUGGGGAUGGGGGGAAGGUGUUUGUGUAUAAAUACAUGUAGGACUAUUUAUAUUUAAUUACCUUUUGUAUAAUUUUUGGUAAAUUAUAAGCUUUAAUUUUAUCUAUACUACCAAAUAUAUUGACAAUAUAUCAUUAUUUUAAUAUA